UCAAAAUCCAAAGUACAUGUAACAGUAAUACAAGUUUACAACAUCUUAACUGCAGGCUCAACAAUACGGUGACAUAAUCCUAAAUCUCCUACAUAUGCACCUCUCGUACACAAAAUCGUCUCUCCUCGUAUAUCGUAUAUCGUAUCUACAACUAUUUCUCUCUUUUAUACUACUCUAAUAACCUGAUUACAAUAUGGUUAAAUGACUUUGAACAAAGAAAUAUUCUACAGGAGCUAUAUUAUAGGAGCCCGGAGCCCGAAGCCCGGAGCCCGGAGCCCGGAGCUAAGGUCAGCUGAAACUGAGGUCAACCGAGGCACUUGUAUAUAUGUUCCAGACCGUAUGAGUAUUUGGACCGUACGCGUACGGUCUGACUGAUAUUAAGAAGUUGGUCAAGCUUAUUAGAUACAAAUGUAUAUAACAGAUCAACAUGACUUAUAUCUCCAAUUAUUAUAAAAAGUUCAACAGCAUUUGACAUAAAAACUUAAUAUUUUAACUAUUUAAAAAGAUCACGCUUAUUUAAUCUGUUAAUCUCCUGUAUUUUGCAGGCCGGUAAUUCAUUAAUUGCAGCUCAGUAUGCUCAUUGAAAUUGAAGUUAUCGGAAGUAAACAUAAUGUGGGAGGACAAUUGUUUUAGAAUAUUUAUGAACUUUACAAAAGAAAUGCAUACGAAAAGGAACAUGCAUUAACAAAACAUGUAAAUGUAAAAAAUACGACGUUCUUAUUAGAAGCAAGUGUCACCUUCGGCCAGAGUAACAAAAUAGAAUUCACGGAUAUACAAUUAAGCAAAUAUUUAAUUUCAAUUGUUCGCUUAUUCACUUUAUCAUCGGCCAUAUAACGAUAUGUAUAACUAAAAAUAAAGAUUUUGAUAAAUGUUUGUUUAAAUUUAACCCAUAUGAUCCCAAAACGUAUGAUCAGCUGGACCGUACGCGUAUACUCAUACGGUCCGACCGUACGCGUAUGGUCGGACCGUACGAGUAUACGUAUACGGUCCGGACCGUACGCGUACGGUCCAAAUACUCAUAUGGUCUGGAACAUAUACAAAGCAACGGGGCACCAGCUGAUUGACAUGAUUGAUUUGACAUUUAACAAGUACAAUCUGAUUGAAAGCGAUAAAAAUAGAUUGUAAGGAAUUACUUGACAACGUUUAAUGAGAAUAAUUAAUCUGAUAACACCAUGAUGAUUAAACCCAGUGAUGCAUGUAAUAAACGAAAAACGUUACAAAAUUUAUAGUCCAGGAAGACGAAUUAUUUA
RNAcentral lists this long non-coding RNA (1250 nucleotides) under Mytilus galloprovincialis (Mediterranean mussel). Lineage: Eukaryota; Metazoa; Mollusca; Bivalvia; Mytilida; Mytilidae. The record is from RNAcentral.